RNAcentral lists this ribosomal RNA (465 nucleotides) under uncultured bacterium. RNAcentral describes it as "partial 16S ribosomal RNA". It matches the Rfam family "Bacterial small subunit ribosomal RNA", at positions 338 to 795 of the family's 1533-position model. The record is from RNAcentral.
CCUACGGGUGACAGCAGUGGGGAAUCUUGCGCAAUGGGCGAAAGCCUGAUGCAGCGACGCCGCGUGAGGGAUGAAGGUCUUCGGAUCGUAAACUUCUGUCAGCAGGGAAGAACGGUCACUGUGCUAAUCAGUAGUGAAUUGACGGCACCUGCCAAGGAAGCACCGGCUAACUCCGUGCCAGCAGCCGCGGUAAUAUGGCGGGGGCGAGGGAUAAGCGGAAUUACUGGGCAAAAAGCGGUCGUAGGAGGAAUGUCAGGUCAAAGGUGAAAUCUGCGCGCUCAACAUUGCAACUGCCUUUUAAACUGGCAAGCUGGAGUGUGUGAGAGGAUACUGGAAUUUCAGGUGUAGGAGUGAAAUCCGUAGAUAUCUGGAGGAACAUCAGUGGCGAAGGCGACUAUCUGGCACACAACUGACGCUGAGGAGCGAAAGCGUGGGUAGCAAACAGGAUUAGAUACCCGAGUAGUC